This 1937-nucleotide unclassified non-coding RNA is filed under the name Penaeus chinensis. RNAcentral's name for it is "transmembrane protein 268-like, transcript variant X1". The record is from RNAcentral. Lineage: Eukaryota; Metazoa; Arthropoda; Malacostraca; Decapoda; Penaeidae.
UAUUUUUAUUGUUAUUGUGUAUCUUUGUUAUUUGAUAUUCAGCUGUUGUUGCAACGAUGAUGAUUUCUUAUGCCAUUGGUCAUUAUUGUCUUCGAAGAGACUCCAAUGUCCUACAUUUCAUCUCAGAUUCUUAGCGGGAUGACCACCCCCGAGGGGAAGGAGGGCGCGGGCCCCAACGGGCAGCCGCCGCAGUCGUGGGUGCAGUUCGAGGAGGAGGACGGGAACCAGCAGGCGCCGCCGUCCAGGGGCGACAGCACGCCCGCCGUCAUCGACGCGCAGGCCGUCCAGGUGAGCCUGGAGAACCACAACACAGACAAAAAUGUGUCAAGAACAGUCUCAGAACCAGUUAAUGGAGUGCGUAAAACUUCAGUUACUUCACCAACAACGCCCUCCAGUAUCACCUCAGAUACACGAGUUACAAUGUCACAACUCAGCCCAGCACAACUCCAUAAUGUCCCUCUACAUGACCCUUCAGCACGGCCACCUGCCAAUGCUCAGCCUGUGAUUAGACAAGGAUUCUCAAAUGGGGAUGUAAUUGUAACGUUAUUACCCCAGAACACUUCAUUGCCAUGGGUUACUCCAGCACAGUUCAGGCCAGAACUUGUUCCUGAAGAGCUGAUGGCUCAAGGCCUCACACUUACAGUUGAAGACUAUGUUCACAUAAUGUCUCAGCUGGUCAAUGACUACCGUUUCACCUUGUAUAAUGUGUGCUACAAGCGUAUCCUCAUGGCCUGGAUCAUCUUGGGUUUUGUUAUCCUUUUGGGUAUCCUCUUCUCAGGCCUGACUCAAUUAAAAUUAUUUGGUGCUGGAAUUGGCUGGCUGAUGGUUAACGCAGCUGCGAUAUUUUUCUGUAUGUGGGUGAAGAUCCAGCUGAACAAAUCAUUAGAACGUUGCAUUGCUGGAAUCAACCUCCAGCUUCUGAGACAUAAGAUUCUAUUAGGUCUGGAUGACCGAGGGAAACUCUCUUGUCACAAGGUCAAUCUCUGCUUCAUCUAUUUUGAUACUCAUGAUUGUGUGGCCAAGUUGCAAGAGAUUAUUGAGCAAGAGGAGCGAGCUGGACGCACUGUGAAUAGCGAGGAGGCCAAAAUGUCCCCUCUUCACCAGCGCAUGGAUAUUGAUGACUCUGACAUUAUCAUCACAGGAGCAACUAACACCCGCAUCUCAAGGCAACAAGACAGAGCACGUAUUCUACUAGCGCGAUAUAGUCAACGUUGGGUGAAGGGAGUAGCUCGAGGGUCUCUGUCAAUAUCAACUGAUGCAAGUGACUCCACUAGUCCUCCUUCAUUACCUCCUCGCCACAGUUCCUCAAAACAGUGCCUGUGCCAGUAUAUUGAAGACCACCUCCACUACAAGCCACAAGGUUGCUUUGCUCUGUGUGAUAUGUGGCAGCAGGGGAGCAGUAGCGCUCUCCAGACUGGACCUCAAACGGGAACUAACCUUGCCUGAAGAGGCCAGAAGUUUUGUCAGCAGUUGUGAAUAUCUUCUACUUUCAUUAUUGGGGAAUGUCUGUGGUGUGUGCAGUUGGCUGACGUCAUGCCAUCAUAUAAUGCUGCUUGAUAUAUAUAUAACAGAAAUUAUAGUAAAAAUAAGAGGUGUGUCAAGUAUUAUUUUAAUUAUUAUUAUUAUUAUUAUUAUUAUUAUUAUUAUUAUUAUUAUCAUCACUAUCAAUAACAAAUAUUGUAUAAUGACCAUACUGAAUAUCUAUCAUGUGAGGAGAAUACAGGGGUAAAAAUUGGUUUUCUAAUAAAAAAGAAGGGGGGUGAUAACAAUUUUUUAUUGAAGAGUGAAGAGAGAAAAAAUAAUUACAUUUAUAUUGCAUUUUGAUAAAUUUACAUAUUAAAAGUAUAUAAAAAAACUGCCAAGGAGAAACAUGAAAUUUUAUACAUAGCUUAGUUUGGUGCCCUGUAUUAUGUCAAGAACUAAUAAACAAGUUGAAA